GGGGAAUAUUGGACAAUGGGCGAAAGCCUGAUCCAGCAAUGCCGCGUGAGUGAUGAAGGCCUUAGGGUUGUAAAGCUCUUUUACCAGGGAUGAUAAUGACAGUACCUGGAGAAUAAGCUCCGGCUAACUCCGUGCCAGCAGCCGCGGUAAUACGGAGGGAGCUAGCGUUGUUCGGAAUCACUGGGCGUAAAGCGUGCGUAGGCGGUGACUCAAGUCAGAGGUGAAAGCCUGGAGCUCAACUCCAGAACUGCCUUUGAAACUAGGUCGCUAGAAUGUCGGAGAGGUGAGUGGAAUUCCGAGUGUAGAGGUGAAAUUCGUAGAUAUUCGGAAGAACACCAGUGGCGAAGGCGGCUCACUGGACGACUAUUGACGCUGAGGCACGAAAGCGUGGGGAGCAAAC
RNAcentral lists this ribosomal RNA (400 nucleotides) under uncultured bacterium. RNAcentral describes it as "bacterial SSU rRNA". It matches the Rfam family "Bacterial small subunit ribosomal RNA", at positions 356 to 773 of the family's 1533-position model. The record is from RNAcentral.